Molecule: long non-coding RNA, 523 nt
Filed under: Mus pahari (shrew mouse)
Lineage: Eukaryota; Metazoa; Chordata; Mammalia; Rodentia; Muridae
Description: lncRNA (MGP_PahariEiJ_G0006515.1)
Source: RNAcentral
GAGAGCGUCUACCUGGACGCCUAAGGUAGCUAGCUGGUAGAUUUCUGGAAACUUCCAGAAGCUAGUGUGGUCGUUUCUUCAUCUAAAUACGUUGCAUUUGUGAGGUUCAUCCUUGUAACAGCAACAGCAGCAGCCCAGCAACAGCCCAGCAGCAGCAUAACUACCACCAUCAACAACAGCUCAGCGGUAGCAGCAUCACCAGCAACAUCACGAGCCCAGCAGCAGUAUCACUAGCAGCAGCAGCAGCAGCAGUAAUAUAGGCACCAACAAAGUAGAAGAUUUGCCUCUUGGAUGACUAAUCAGUAAACCUUCCAGCAAGUCUAACAGUAAUAGGCUCAACUCAGAGGACGUAGAGGCUCUCCUAUUGCACAACAGUUAUGCCUGCCACCGGUGAAGAGUAUGGGAACAUAACUCCUCCACCUGAAAUUAAAGAAAUUCAAGAAAUUGAAGGACCGCAAGCUAUUGAAACUCUCAUGAACUAUUGUCAGAUUAUAUUUAAAACUGUUCAAAGACUGGAAAAAAG